RNAcentral lists this ribosomal RNA (236 nucleotides) under uncultured bacterium. RNAcentral's name for it is "partial 16S ribosomal RNA". It matches the Rfam family "Bacterial small subunit ribosomal RNA", at positions 15 to 240 of the family's 1533-position model. The record is from RNAcentral.
GAUUAUGGCUCAGGAUGAACGCUAGCGACAGGCCUAACACAUGCAAGUCGAGGGGCAGCGGAGAGGUAGCAAUACCUUUGCCGGCGACCGGCGCACGGGUGAGUAACACGUAUGCAAUCCACCUGUAACAGGGGGAUAACCCGGAGAAAUCCGGACUAAUACCCCAUAAUAUGGGCGUUCCGCAUGGAGAGCUCAUUAAAGAGAGCAAUUUUGGUUACAGACGAGCAUGCGCUCCA